UACGUAGGGUGCAAGCGUUAAUCGGAAUUACUGGGCGUAAAGCGUGCGCAGGCGGUUUUGUAAGUCUGUCGUGAAAUCCCCCGGGCUCAACCUGGGAAUUGCGAUGGAGACUGCAAGGCUAGAAUCUGGCAGAGGGGGGUAGAAUUCCACGUGUGAGCAGUGAAAUGCGUAGAGAUGUGGAGGAACACCGAUGGCGAAGGCAGCCCCCCUGGGUCAAGAUUGACGCUCAUGCACGAAAGCGUGGGGAGCAAACAGG
Molecule: ribosomal RNA, 256 nt
Filed under: uncultured bacterium
Lineage: Bacteria
Description: partial 16S ribosomal RNA
Rfam family: Bacterial small subunit ribosomal RNA
Source: RNAcentral